This 16-nucleotide ribosomal RNA is filed under the name Ochlerotatus australis. RNAcentral's name for it is "partial 28S ribosomal RNA". The record is from RNAcentral. Lineage: Eukaryota; Metazoa; Arthropoda; Insecta; Diptera; Culicidae.
GUAGGCCUCAGAUAAU